UAAGGAAUAUUGCUUAAUGGGCGAAAGCCUGAAGCAGCAACGCCGCGUGAACGAAGAAGGCCUUCGGGUCGUAAAGUUCUUUUACGUGGGAUGAGGAAGGACAGUACCACGAGAAUAAGUCUCGGCUAACUACGAGCCAGCAGCCGCGGUAAAACGUAGGAGACGAGCGUUAUCCGGAUUUACUGGGCGUAAAGCGCGUGUAGGAGGCGCUACAAGUUGGAUGUGAAAGCUCCCGGCUUAACUGGGAGAGGUCGUUCAAGACUGUAGAGCUAGAGUGAGGCAGAGGUAGAUGGAACUCCGGGAGUAGUGGUGAAAUGCGUAGAUAUCCGGAAGAACACCAGAGGCGAAAGCGAUCUACUGGACCUAAACUGACACUGAGACGCGAAAGCCAGGGUAGCAAACGG
RNAcentral lists this ribosomal RNA (404 nucleotides) under uncultured bacterium. Its description in RNAcentral is "bacterial SSU rRNA". It matches the Rfam family "Bacterial small subunit ribosomal RNA", at positions 355 to 775 of the family's 1533-position model. The record is from RNAcentral.